AACUACUCCGGUGGCCUAGUGGUUAGAGCGUCCGCCUCAAUUGCGGGAGGUCGUUGGUUCUAGUGGGUUCUAUCCCCGGUCGAGUCA
This is a non-coding RNA of Potamilus streckersoni, 87 nucleotides long. NCBI's taxonomy places the organism in Eukaryota, Metazoa, Mollusca, Bivalvia, Unionida, Unionidae. The record is from the annotation of a GenBank genome assembly.